GUCUAGGGUAGCCUAGUGGACAUGGCAUCUGCCCGGUAAGCGGGAACACUGUGGUUUCGAUUCCCCAUCCCUGGACA
RNAcentral lists this transfer RNA (77 nucleotides) under Cordylochernes scorpioides. Its description in RNAcentral is "tRNA-Thr". Lineage: Eukaryota; Metazoa; Arthropoda; Arachnida; Pseudoscorpiones; Chernetidae. The record is from RNAcentral.